Molecule: ribosomal RNA, 327 nt
Filed under: uncultured eukaryote
Lineage: Eukaryota
Description: partial 18S ribosomal RNA
Rfam family: Eukaryotic small subunit ribosomal RNA
Source: RNAcentral
CCCUUAGAUGUUCUGGGCCGCACGCGCGCUACACUGACGAAUGCAACGAGCUUAUAACCUUGGCCGAAAGGUCUGGGUAAUCUCCAAAUUUCGUCGUGAUGGGGAUAGAUUAUUGCAAUUAUUAAUCUUCAACGAGGAAUGCCUAGUAAGCGCAAGUCAUCAGCUUGCGUUGAUUACGUCCCUGCCCUUUGUACACACCGCCCGUCGCUCCUACCGAUUGAAUGGUCCGGUGAAGCGUUCGGACCGUGGCCUUUGGACGGUUCGCCGUCUGUUGGCUGCGGGAAGUUCGUUAAAGCUUAUCAUUUAGAGGAAGGAGAAGUCGUAACA